This 549-nucleotide ribosomal RNA is filed under the name uncultured bacterium. RNAcentral describes it as "bacterial SSU rRNA". It matches the Rfam family "Bacterial small subunit ribosomal RNA", at positions 355 to 896 of the family's 1533-position model. The record is from RNAcentral.
UGGGGAAUAUUGGACAAUGGGCGAAAGCCUGAUCCAGCCAUGCCGCGUGUGUGAAGAAGGCCUUUUGGUUGUAAAGCACUUUAAGUGGGGAGGAAAAGCUUAUGGUUAAUACCCAUAAGCCCUGACGUUACCCACAGAAUAAGCACCGGCUAACUCUGUGCCAGCAGCCGCGGUAAUACAGAGGGUGCAAGCGUUAAUCGGAAUUACUGGGCGUAAAGCGCGCGUAGGUGGUUAUUUAAGUCAGAUGUGAAAGCCCCGGGCUUAACCUGGGAACUGCAUCUGAUACUGGAUAACUAGAGUAGGUGAGAGGGGAGUAGAAUUCCAGGUGUAGCGGUGAAAUGCGUAGAGAUCUGGAGGAAUACCGAUGGCGAAGGCAGCUCCCUGGCAUCAUACUGACACUGAGGUGCGAAAGCGUGGGUAGCAAACAGGAUUAGAUACCCUGGUAGUCCACGCCGUAAACGAUGUCUACCAGUCGUUGGGUCCUUUAAAGACUUAGUGACGCAGUUAACGCAAUAAGUAGACCGCCUGGGGAGUACGGCCGCAAGGUUA